GCUUACAGGUCACACUACCGAAGACGCUUCCAAUCUCGUCUGAUCUCGGAAGCCCUAAGAGGGUUUGGACCUGGUUAGUAAUUGGAAUGGGGAAGACCCACCUGGGAAUACCAGGUGCUGUAAGCU
This 126-nucleotide ribosomal RNA is filed under the name Astyanax mexicanus (Mexican tetra). The record is from RNAcentral. Lineage: Eukaryota; Metazoa; Chordata; Actinopteri; Characiformes; Acestrorhamphidae.